RNAcentral lists this ribosomal RNA (736 nucleotides) under uncultured bacterium. Its description in RNAcentral is "bacterial SSU rRNA". It matches the Rfam family "Bacterial small subunit ribosomal RNA", at positions 61 to 807 of the family's 1533-position model. The record is from RNAcentral.
GUCGAACGGAGCUUAAAGGAGCUUGCUUUUUUAAGCUUAGUGGCGGACGGGUGAGUAACACGUGAGCAACCUGCCUUUCAGAGGGGGAUAACGUUUGGAAACGAACGCUAAUACCGCAUAACAUUGCUUUAAGGCAUCUUAAGGCAAUCAAAGGAGCAAUCCGCUGAAAGAUGGGCUCGCGUCCGAUUAGAUAGUUGGCGAGGGUAACGGCCCACCAAGUCGACGAUCGGUAGCCGGACUGAGAGGUUGAACGGCCACAUUGGGACUGAGACACGGCCCAGACUCCUACGGGAGGCAGCAGUGGGGAAUAUUGCACAAUGGGGGAAACCCUGAUGCAGCGACGCCGCGUGAGGGAAGAAGGUUUUCGGAUUGUAAACCUCUGUCUUUGGUGACGAAAGAUGACGGUAGCCAAAGAGGAAGCUACGGCUAACUACGUGCCAGCAGCCGCGGUAAUACGUAGGUGGCAAGCGUUGUCCGGAAUUACUGGGUGUAAAGGGAGCGUAGGCGGGAAGACAAGUUGAAUGUUUAAACUAUCGGCUCAACCGAUAAUCGCGUUCAAAACUGUUUUUCUUGAGUGAAGUAGAGGCAGGCGGAAUUCCUAGUGUAGCGGUGAAAUGCGUAGAUAUUAGGAGGAACACCAGUGGCGAAGGCGGCCUGCUGGGCUUUAACUGACGCUGAGGCUCGAAAGCGUGGGUAGCAAACAGGAUUAGAUACCCUGGUAGUCCACGCUGUAAAC